GCGAGGGUAGUCUAGCUUGGACUAGGACGUCGGCCUUCCAAGCCGAUGACCCGGGUUCAAAUCCCGGCCCUCGCACCA
RNAcentral lists this transfer RNA (78 nucleotides) under Candidatus Bathyarchaeota archaeon. RNAcentral describes it as "tRNA-Gly". It matches the Rfam family "tRNA". Rfam says of the family: Transfer RNA (tRNA) molecules are approximately 80 nucleotides in length. Their secondary structure includes four short double-helical elements and three loops (D, anti-codon, and T loops). RNAcentral also lists the same sequence under 1 other name. Lineage: Archaea; Thermoproteati; Candidatus Bathyarchaeota. The record is from RNAcentral.